GUCUGGUUGAUCCUGCCAGUACUAUACGCUUGUCUUAAAGAUUAAGCCAUGCAAGCACUGUUCAGGUUUUUAACCGAGACAGCGGACAGCUCAGUAGGACGGUUUUAACGAAGGCAGAGCGAGAAGUGGAUAACCGUGGGAAUUCCAUGGCUAAUCAGGAACGAGAUUCGUUUUUUGAAAGAGAGACGGGUUGAUCUGCAUCGGGGACUGGCCCAUCAACUGUAGAGUAGGGUAACGGCCUACGCUGGUGACGACGGGUGCGGGGGAUUAGAGUCCGAUUCCGGAGAGGGGGCCUUCGAGAUAGCCACCAUGUCCAAGGACAGCAGCAGGCGCGAAACUUACCCAAUCCCUUUUGUGGGGGAGGUAGUGACGAGAAAUAGUGUAUACUCUGGAGAACUAGUAAAGAUAGUAUUGAUGAGCGACUAGAGGGCAAGUCUGGUGCCAGCAGCCGCGGUAAUUCCAGCUCUGGUAGCGUAUAGUAAAGUUGUUGCAGUUAAAAGGUCCGCAGUCGUUAGUCGGCCGCGUUGAGCAAAGGGGAGUGAUUUAGGGGCACCAUUAAGCAUUGUCCGGCCGACAUUUCAGGAGGAUUCAGGGUCGAGGGGAAUACGGCGGGAGGAGUGAAACCCGGGGAGCGCCGUGGGACCGACGGAGGCGAAGGCGCUCGACAGGGAUGCGUCCGGUGACCAUGGACGAAGGCCAGGGGAGCGAAGAUGAUUAGAUACCGUCGUAGUCCUGGCAGUAAACGAAGCUGAUUGAGUGAAGCGGUGUUUCACUUUGGCGAAAGAGAUCAGUUCUGGGGGGAGUAUAGUCGCAAGUCUGGAACUUAAAGGAAUUGACGGAAGGGCACCACCAGGGGUGGAGCCUGCGGCUUAAUUUGACUCAACACGGGGAAUUUUACCAGGACGGGCCACGGGGACGAGCGAGUUCGCGAUUCCGGACGCGGUGGUGCAUGGCCGUUGUUGGUUGGUGGGGUGACCUGUCAGGUUUAUUCCGAUAACGAGCGAGGCCGUUUGAGAAGACGACGCCCUAUUUUAGUGGGGGGAAGGGACGGCAAUAACAGGUCUGUGAUGCCCCUCGAUGUUCUGGGCUGCACGCGGGCUACAGUUAGAUGGCGAAUUGAGUAACGAGAGCGAAGACAUCUAGUGGAGGGGACCGAUGUCUGUAAAGAGAUCGCGAACAAGGAAUCCCUAGUAAGCGUUUUUCAUGAGAGAGCGUAGAAUU
Molecule: ribosomal RNA, 1221 nt
Filed under: Metchnikovella dogieli
Lineage: Eukaryota; Fungi; Microsporidia; Metchnikovellidae
Description: partial 18S ribosomal RNA
Rfam family: Eukaryotic small subunit ribosomal RNA
Source: RNAcentral